UACGUAGGGUGCGAGCGUUGUCCGGAAUUACUGGGCGUAAAGAGCUCGUAGGUGGUUUGUCGCGUUGUUCGUGAAAACUCACAGCUUAACUGUGGGCUUGCGGUCGAUACGGGCAGGCUAGAGUUCGGUAGGGGAGACUGGAAUUCCUGGUGUAGCGGUGAAAUGCGCAGAUAUCGGGAAGAACACCAGUGGCGAAGGCGGCUCACUGGCCCGAUACUGACGCUGAGGCACGAAAGCGUGGGGAGCAAACAGGG
RNAcentral lists this ribosomal RNA (254 nucleotides) under uncultured bacterium. RNAcentral describes it as "partial 16S ribosomal RNA". It matches the Rfam family "Bacterial small subunit ribosomal RNA", at positions 524 to 777 of the family's 1533-position model. The record is from RNAcentral.